CAGUGGUACACUCCAGUCCCAGUAGGGCUCAGGCAGGAGGGCCAGGGCUGGGCAUGGGCCCCCAACCACAGGAGGUCAGGACCAUAAGCCCCCUGAAGAGGCUCUGAGCAGGGCAAAGGAGGAGCCCAACAUCCUGGGUUGGAGUUUGGAUGCAGCCCCAGCUGUGUGACCCCGGGGCCAAUCCCAAUCCAUCUCUGAACCCCACCCGCUGCAGAGGGCUUCCCCCCACAACAUCCAAAGAGUGUCUUUGAGGGGCUGGAGCAGAAACAUUGCCUCUCAGAUCCAAGACCCUGUUUGGGGUGGCACAAGCCUUCUGAGGAAAUGCAGGCACAGAGGAAGACAUUCAUUCUUUCAAAAUCAUUUGUUCAACCAAUGCAGCGGCCUACUACGAGUGUGACAUAGUUCUAGGUGCUGGAGUUCAGCGGGAGCCAGGAGCCCAGUCCACGUGUCGGUCCGUGCGGAGGAGCCCGUUCGCUCCUCGCUGGCCGAGGGCUGGAGGACCUGGACAUCGGGGACCGCAGCGUCUCCUCACCAGACUCCCUGUCUGCACACGAUGUCCACUCCCCUGCAUUCUCAGAUAGCCCCUAUUCUCAGAUGGCCUCAAUGAGGACAGAAUGAGGAAGGGUCCAAUGAAGACUAGGGUCCUGGCGUGAGCGCAAAUCGUCGUCCUGAGCGCUUAGAACGCCUGGGUUUGGGACUGGAAGGUUGCGUUUGGGGAGUACGGACAGCUAGGCCACCCCCUGCCGAAUAGACCCUCCCCUACCCCUGCCCGGGGGCGGAGUAGGGGAGAGGGGCCUGUAGAGGGGCUGGCCCUUUAAGGGGGUGUGGUCGGGGGGCGGAGGAAGAGCGAGAC
Molecule: long non-coding RNA, 853 nt
Organism: Homo sapiens (human)
Lineage: Eukaryota; Metazoa; Chordata; Mammalia; Primates; Hominidae
Source: Ensembl